This 253-nucleotide ribosomal RNA is filed under the name uncultured bacterium. RNAcentral describes it as "partial 16S ribosomal RNA". It matches the Rfam family "Bacterial small subunit ribosomal RNA", at positions 524 to 776 of the family's 1533-position model. The record is from RNAcentral.
UACGUAGGGCGCAAGCGUUGUCCGGAAUUAUUGGGCGUAAAGAGCUCGUAGGCGGCUUGUUGCGUCGGUUGUGAAAGCCCGGGGCUUAACCCCGGGUCUGCAGUCGAUACGGGCAGGCUAGAGUGUGGUAGGGGAGAUCGGAAUUCCUGGUGUAGCGGUGAAAUGCGUAGAUAUCUGGAGGAACACCGGUGGCGAAGGCGGCAUCCUGGACCAACACUGACGCUGAGGAGCGAAAGCCAGGGGAGCAAACGGG